GAUGAACGCUGGCGGCGUGCCUAAUACAUGCAAGUCGAGCGAACAGACGAGGAGCUUGCUCCUCUGACGUUAGCGGCGGACGGGUGAGUAACACGUGGCUAACCUACCUAUAAGACUGGGAUAACUUCGGGAAACCGGAGCUAAUACCGGAUAAUAUAUUGAACCGCAUGGUUCAAUAGUGAAAGACGGUUUUGCUGUCACUUAUAGAUGGAUCCGCGCCGCAUUAGCUAGUUGGUAAGGUAACGGCUUACCAAGGCAACGAUGCGUAGCCGACCUGUGAGGGUGAGCGGCCACGCUGGAACUGAGACACGGUCCAGACUCCUACGGGAGGCAGCAGUAGGGAAUCUUCCGCAAUGGGCGAAAGCCUGACGGGGCAGCGCCGCGUGAGUGAUGAAGGUCUUCGGAUCGUAAGACUCUGUUAUUAGGGAAGAACAAAUGUGUAAGUAACUAUGCACGUCUUGACGGUACCUAAUCAGAAAGCCACGGCUAACUACGUG
RNAcentral lists this ribosomal RNA (497 nucleotides) under uncultured bacterium. RNAcentral describes it as "partial 16S ribosomal RNA". It matches the Rfam family "Bacterial small subunit ribosomal RNA", at positions 28 to 507 of the family's 1533-position model. The record is from RNAcentral.